Molecule: long non-coding RNA, 1646 nt
Organism: Daucus carota subsp. sativus
Lineage: Eukaryota; Viridiplantae; Streptophyta; Magnoliopsida; Apiales; Apiaceae
Exons: 5
Source: RefSeq, a predicted model, not a curated record
GAAGACUCAUAAAUAGUUGACUAAAAGCGGGCAACGGAGAGAGAGAAAACAGGAGGCGAUAGAGAUAACAGAUCGAAGAAGGCGAGAGAGAUUGAUCGAAGAAAGCUGGUAAUAGAGGGAUCAAUUUUCUUUCCCUAAUAACUUGAAGGAGGAACUCCACCUAUACGGAUGGAAAUUAAUCAAGUGGAAGCAGAUAGAAGAUCUCCUUGGAUUACUGGCACAAGGGACCUUACAUGAACAUCACUUUUACCAGGAACUCCCCGUUAUGACUUCCAGAUAUACCCACCUCAUCCCCAACCAGUAAUAUACCCACUCCGUCACAGUAAAAUGUUAAUGAACAAUCCUUAAACAGAAUACUUAGUUCUGCUGUUUACCUCCACUCUCUCUGCUAACUCUAGUUUUGGAAAUCUUGCAGCUAAGUCCUGGUAUUUGAUAUGAUGUGUGGUUUAUAAUUUGAUUUUACUAGAUAUGGCCUUAUCUUUUUGAGAAGGUGAAACUUGGAGGCAUAAAUGUUAUUCAGACUUAUAUUUUUUGCGACAUAUAUAUGAAUCAAAUUUUCAUCUUUUGCAUCCACAGUUUAGGCAAAGUUGAAGUAUAUAAAGUAAACACAGGCCAUGUUUAUUUGAAAGAUAAAUUCUAUAUAAGCAGAUGUGAUCCUAUGGCCAUAUAAUUCAGAUGUUCCGAGCGAGCUUAACAUGAAAAAUAAAGAACUCUGGUGUUUAGAUCCCUCCAAACAAACAUGGUCAUACCCAUAUGUAGGAUUUGAACGUCAUAGUUCUUUACUUUUCCCGGCAAGCUCUCUCUUGGAACAUCUGAUAUUCCAAUAAAGCUAAUGAAUAUUUUCUUAGUUCUUAUAAUUCUUAUAUCGUGUCAUUUCAACAAAAUAACUGUGAUACUUAUGUACUAGAUCACCCAUGGCUUCGAGAGGGUGGCGAAGCAUUGGACAAGUCAGCAAACAGUGCGGUUCUUUCUAGGAUGAGGCAGUUCAGAGCUAUGAACAAGAUCAAGAAGCUUGCACUCAAGGCUGAUGUCGAUAGUAACGGGACAAUCGAUUACAUGGAAUUUAUAGCUGCGAUGAUACAUCGAUACACACUGGAGAGGGAUGAACAUCUCUACAAGGCAUUCGAGCAUUUUGACACAGACAACAGUGGAUACCAUUAAAGAAAUAUUGUCUGAAGUUGACUCAGAUAAUGAAGACCAUGUAAUGGUGCUGAUGUGCUACCAGAUUUGGUUGGGGCUUUGAAGCUUUUGUCUCAAAAGCAAUAACGCUCUGUAGACCUAUAUGAACUUGCACAAUCCACCGAAAUUGUUGUUGAGGAACUUGCCCUGCACCAGGCUCUUAACAAUCUAAUUGAGGGCGUUUUGUUGAUUUCCAGAGAUGCCCCAGCACAUUGUGCUCUUGGAAUAAUCAAUGACAAUGGGCUUGAUAUGUCAAGUCUUUUGUUACUUAUUUUUUGUUGAUCAAAACUUUGGUAUAAUAAUAUAGUGGUGUAUUUUAUUUAACAUUCUAGACUUAGGAUUGUUACUGCUCUUGGUUGCGGUUGUGUAGGCAUGGUUAGAUUUGUGAUGGGUAACAUUCUUACCUUUUUUAAGAUGUUCUUGUAAUGAACAUUUAAUGGCAGAUUAAUAUAGUUUCGAAAUAGUCA